RNAcentral lists this ribosomal RNA (253 nucleotides) under uncultured bacterium. RNAcentral describes it as "partial 16S ribosomal RNA". It matches the Rfam family "Bacterial small subunit ribosomal RNA", at positions 524 to 776 of the family's 1533-position model. The record is from RNAcentral.
UACGGAGGGUGCGAGCGUUGUCCGGAAUCACUGGGCGUAAAGGGCGCGUAGGCGGCGCGGGGAGUCAACGGUGAAAGCUUGGGGCUCAACCCCGAGUCGGCCGUCGAUACUCCCGUGCUUGAGCACUGUAGAGGCAGGUGGAAUUCCGGGUGUAGCGGUGGAAUGCGUAGAGAUCCGGAAGAACACCGGUGGCGAAGGCGGCCUGCUGGGCAGUAGCUGACACUGAGGCGCGACAGCGUGGGGAGCAAACAGG